RNAcentral lists this long non-coding RNA (221 nucleotides) under Capsicum annuum. RNAcentral's name for it is "long non-coding RNA (CANN_LNC017024)". The record is from RNAcentral. Lineage: Eukaryota; Viridiplantae; Streptophyta; Magnoliopsida; Solanales; Solanaceae.
GGGGAUGCCCACUUUAUGUCUUGUAAUAAUCAGGGUGGUCAGAGUGCUUCCUUUAUCACUACUUUCCAAAAGAAAGAAAAACUGUUGAAGCACGCGUCAAAAUAAGUCUGAAAGAAGAAUUAAUAAUGCAUGUGACGAUGGGGCCCAAAAGAGUACCCGACUUGCAUUAUUAAAGAUUCUUUCUUAUCUCUUAUCUUUAAGUGUCGGCCACAUGUGUUUAG